This 344-nucleotide ribosomal RNA is filed under the name uncultured Cenococcum. Its description in RNAcentral is "eukaryotic LSU rRNA". The stretch from base 47 to 200 matches the Rfam family "5.8S ribosomal RNA". Lineage: Eukaryota; Fungi; Ascomycota; Dothideomycetes; Gloniales; Gloniaceae. The record is from RNAcentral.
AACUACAGUUUCAACGGUGUUGUCUGAGCUACAAGCAACGAAUCAAAACUUUCAACAACGGAUCUCUUGGUUCUGGCAUCGAUGAAGAACGCAGCGAAAUGCGAUAAGUAGUGUGAAUUGCAUAAUUCAGUGAAUCAUCGAAUCUUUGAACGCACAUUGCGCCCCUUGGUAUCCCGAGGGGCAUGCCUGUUCGAGCGUCAUUUCACCACUCAAGCCUGGCUUGGUGUUGGGUGACGUCCCCUUUGAGGACGCGCCUCGAAACGCUCGGCGGCGUGGCACCGGCUUUAAGCGUAUCAUAAUCUUUCUGCUUCGAAAGUCGGGUCCCCGUCUGCCGGAAGACCUAC